GGCCCUAAGGUGUUCGACACAUAAGAUUGCAAAUCUUAAGGGGCAGAUAACCCCUGCUGGGGCUU
This 65-nucleotide transfer RNA is filed under the name Liparis agassizii. Its description in RNAcentral is "tRNA-Cys". The record is from RNAcentral. Lineage: Eukaryota; Metazoa; Chordata; Actinopteri; Perciformes; Liparidae.